UGUAUGUAUCGGUCUGAACCCAUAUACGGAUACGUCAGCUGCGUAAAUGUAUAACGCAAUAUUGGUCGAUUGGAAUAAUGAAAUACAACAUAAGAGGGUCACCCCGUGUGGGAGCCGGAUUUUGUGGGGUUUUUUCGCGAUUUUUUUGCGGAUUCGGGACACGGAAGAGGGCUUGAAUUAAUUUUAGACCUUGUUUGAUUGAUUGUCACAUAAAAUUAUACAAAGAAUUUAUUCAGUAACUUAUUUACUAAUACAAAUGUAAAAUAAAGAAAAUGUGUAACGAAA
Molecule: long non-coding RNA, 285 nt
Organism: Venturia canescens
Lineage: Eukaryota; Metazoa; Arthropoda; Insecta; Hymenoptera; Ichneumonidae
Exons: 3
Source: RefSeq, a predicted model, not a curated record